This is a long non-coding RNA of Papaver somniferum (opium poppy), 805 nucleotides long. RefSeq lists it as uncharacterized. The transcript has 3 exons. The record is from RefSeq and is a predicted model, not a curated record. NCBI's taxonomy places the organism in Eukaryota, Viridiplantae, Streptophyta, Magnoliopsida, Ranunculales, Papaveraceae.
CGUACUCACUUUUUUUCUCCUGUCUUUCAUUUCUCUCUGAAUCCAUGGAGAGAUUUUCUCUCUGAAACUCGAUUCCUGAGGAUCAUUGAUUAUUUUUGAAGAUUUCGUCUCCGUAUCUGUUUAAUAUCAUCAAAUCUGUGAAGAUUUGUAGUUUGGUUAAUCUCGGUAAGAUAUGGAUAAAGCUGAGAGUUCUAAAAGGAGAGGGGGUGCGCAUAUAUUUACAACUGUUGAUGGUCUUUCUAUGAGAUUUAUUGACUUGAGUAUAGAAGAGGUUGGGAAGGAAGGGUAUUCUGGAGCGUCCCUUAAACAAAUGUCUUGGAAACGAAUUAUAGAAGCUAUGAACACUGAGUGAAUCUGUCCGUAAUCCAACCUUCAAUUUUCCAAUGUCACCGCCAGACAAGUAUUACUUGGGCGAUGCAGCAUAUACACAUAUGAAGGGUUAUAUGACUCCUUACUGGAAUACAAGAUACUGGUUACGAGAUUUUAUUAGUUAUGGACUAGUGGUGGUAUGGGACCUUUACUGGUACUGGUGAGAAGAGUUGGUAACGAUGUCAAGGUGGUCAUGAAGUGGUGAGAAUGGGCAAGUAAUGGUGGUGGGUUGUGAAUCUUGGAGUUUCGAGAGAUGGGGUAUCUUUAUGGGUCAUCUGUGUUGGUGAGGAAGUGCAGGUGAAGGAUGAAUGGAGGUUUUGGUUUGGUCUGGGGUUUUGGUUUGGUCUUUUAUUAUUUUGUAUUUCACUUUAUCCGUGUAAUGGUUUGAAUUGUUGAAAACAUUUUUGAAUUUUUGAAAAUGUUGAUUUGAAAUGAA